Molecule: ribosomal RNA, 333 nt
Filed under: Triticum aestivum (bread wheat)
Lineage: Eukaryota; Viridiplantae; Streptophyta; Magnoliopsida; Poales; Poaceae
Description: partial small subunit ribosomal RNA
Source: RNAcentral
AUGAGGAAAAAUUUAUUGGAAUUUAUGAUUACAACGUAUGAUAGUAGUAGAAAGCGAUUUAUUAUUCGGCCAAAUACUGAUGGCAUCAGUGUGCUUAAUGAAGAUGUUUAUGACAUAUUCGGGCUACGUAACGAAGGUGAUGAUGUCAGUAGCAUGAUAGCAACAGUACAACUAGAUGCCAAAAAAAUUGUUCCGAAUCGGUUUCUAGACAAAAGAACAAGCCUAAUCCUCAUCGAUGAGUUGAUAAAAAAUAUUGUUGAUACUCAGUCAUAUGAUGAUGAUAUUGUGAGAAGGGUCGUAUUGGUUCUUAUGGGUAUAGUCUUAGCACCAUAA